Molecule: long non-coding RNA, 526 nt
Organism: Notothenia coriiceps (black rockcod)
Lineage: Eukaryota; Metazoa; Chordata; Actinopteri; Perciformes; Nototheniidae
Exons: 2
Source: RefSeq, a predicted model, not a curated record
UGAAGAGCGAGUGUCAUCCACGUUCCUCACAACUCUUAACAACCUUUUGAAAGACAGAGACGAGUCGUCCACUUUGAUGAUGGACACCAAAAAGAUCUUCUCCGUCUCCCUCCCCUUCACUCCCUCCUCUGUUGCUCUGGAGACCAUCCAGAUCCCCGCCAGCCUCAAUCUGGGCUUCCUCGCCCGCAUCUAGACCAGAAACCUCUGAGACUGAAUUGUGUUUACGAGAGGAGAAACACCAAAGUCUCUACACGUUGUAAUGUCACUGAUUACUGCAGAGCUGCUGCAGAAUUAGACGACUUUGUUUACAUGCAUCUAUGUUAUAGCUUUUCAGCACUGCACAGCCAAAGACUCAGAACUGAAUGAAUCUGCAAGAAAAGUGUUUUUAAGGUCAUCUAUUGCUAAAACAGGUAUUCACAAUGUUCCUAAUAUAAGAUAUAAGUAAGGACAUUUGAGAAAUUAUAAAACAUGCAAGUUUGUUGGGAUAGAUGAAUGUAUGCUAGGACUGUUUUGAUGGACAAAUCUU